RNAcentral lists this long non-coding RNA (1782 nucleotides) under Cucumis sativus (cucumber). RNAcentral's name for it is "long non-coding RNA (CSAT_LNC000048)". Lineage: Eukaryota; Viridiplantae; Streptophyta; Magnoliopsida; Cucurbitales; Cucurbitaceae. The record is from RNAcentral.
AUAUAUACAUUUAUGCUUUGGUAAGGUUGACAACGUGGGGAAAGGGUCCCUACUCUUCAUUGAACGUUCUGUGAUAUUUAAAAUUGUAAGGUGAAUUAAUAUGGGUGUGACCAACCAAGGUGAGAUUUUUUAAGCUUGAUAGUUGCUUUGUCGUAAAGCAUGCACUAGUUUUAAGUUGGAAUAAUAAUGAAUUCAAAUGCAUGUUGAUGUAAGAGGUGGAUGGAUUUGAGUAAAUAUCGUAUACCUUCGCUAUGGAUGAUAUUCUGAAGGUAUGGAUCAAAAGUGCAUUAAUAGCUAGACAACAUGGAUGAAGCAUUUUUAGAGACGGAGAGAUGAGGAGACAUAUUGCACCCGAAAAUACAAGUCAAGAGGAAGAGGAUCAAUAACUUUCGAAUUGAUAUGCUUGAAGUUACACAUGCAUGAUUGAUUAAAAUUCAUUGCUCCAGAUAGUCGUUAACGACCACGAUAACUUUUAAUUACUUUAUUUCAACUUUUCUAGUUGAAUGAAGUCUAUUGUCUAAAUUACUUUUUUUUUUCUUUUUCUAAUAAUUAAGUAUAUAUGUUUGACGCAAUAUCAUAUUCAUUGCUAAAGUCUUUUUAUAUAUAUAUAAAUAAUCAAGUACAUGCAUUUAAUCCAAUAUUGUCGACAAAUUGAGGUUCAUGUUGGCAAACAACGUAAGAAAAAUAUUUGAGUGCAUUCUAAAUUACACUUGUUUACUUUUUUUUUUUUUUUCAUUCACUCUCACAUUCAUCGUUCCCUAAAUAUUUGAUUUUUGUUUAUACUAUAUGGUUGGUAGAUGCAUGAGCCCAUAACACAUCUUAAUCAGUUACAUAUAUAACAAUAUAAUAGAACCAAAAGAAAUAAAAUUGAAUGUGAUUCAUAUUUUUAUACAAUAUUAUAUAAUACACCUGCACAUAAAAAAGUAAUUUAUUUUACUAAUAAACGUAAAAUGUCGAUCAAUUAUGAAAUAUAGUAUAUACUUAAAAGGUAGAAAAAAGAGAAUAUACAAGUAAACAUAUAUAUAUAUAUAUAUAUAUAUAUAUAUUCUUGAAACAUGCAACCGAAGCAAAUAUAUAUAUUAGCACAUUUGAGUGCAAAAAAUUAUCCAUCUUUAUAUUUGGUAGAACAAUAGAUGAUUGAACAACAAAGAACCCAAGGAGAUUUUGGAGAUGAUAUAACAACUAAGCUUAUAACAUUAACCCUAAUAUUAAACACACAAAACAAAGAAUAAAAAUGAAAGGAUUUACCAUUGUUGAGGAAACACAAACUUGUGGGCAAAACAAAGCAUCAUUGCUUCAUAAGUAGCUAUAAACCUCUUCAAUGGCAAUCCUAAUUUUGCUUUUCCUUCCAUUUUCUUCCAUAACUCUACAAGAUUAUUACUGCUUCUUCUUCUUCCUCCAAGUAUUAUAGUUGGAUUGGUCUUGAUCUUCAUCUUGCUUUGUUCAUCAACUAAUUCACCAAUGUUUUCACUUCUCAGCCUUUCAUAUGAUGAUCUUCUUCUCCCCAUUCCCAUGCCUAUAUUAUGCUUUUUGGGUCUCUACCUCAAUAACUCUCUUCAAGUAAAUGCCUCUUUUUCCUUUCUAUGCUUUGGUUUUUCAAGAAAAAUGAGAGAGAGAAAUGCAUCACAUUAAUUUUGUAUUUAAUGGCUAGCUAGAGUCUAUAAGGAAAAAGUGCAAAGCAAUAAUGCUUUAGUGAAUUUUUUUUAUCAUAAUUAAUGAGUGGUUAUAUCCAUGCCAACUACCAAAUUUAGUAUCAUUUAUUCAAUAUAACAUUAAUAGAAA